This 253-nucleotide ribosomal RNA is filed under the name uncultured bacterium. RNAcentral describes it as "partial 16S ribosomal RNA". It matches the Rfam family "Bacterial small subunit ribosomal RNA", at positions 524 to 776 of the family's 1533-position model. The record is from RNAcentral.
UACAGAGACUGCAAGCGUUAUUCGGAUUCACUGGGCGUAAAGGGUGCGCAGGCGGCCAAGUGUGUUAGGCGUGAAAGCCCGGGGCUUAACCCCGGAAUUGCACCUAAAACUACGUGGCUAGAGCAUUGGAGAGGGUAGCAGAAUUCACGGUGUAGCAGUGAAAUGCGUAGAUAUCGUGAGGAAUACCAGAGGCGAAGGCGGCUACCUGGACAAUUGCUGACGCUCAGGCACGAAAGCGUGGGGAGCAAAAGGG